GGGGAUGUAGCUCUGUUGGCAGAGUGCUUGGCUAGCAAGCAUGAAGUCCUGGGUUCAGUUCCCAGCACCA
Molecule: transfer RNA, 70 nt
Filed under: Mus musculus (house mouse)
Lineage: Eukaryota; Metazoa; Chordata; Mammalia; Rodentia; Muridae
Rfam family: tRNA
About the family: Transfer RNA (tRNA) molecules are approximately 80 nucleotides in length. Their secondary structure includes four short double-helical elements and three loops (D, anti-codon, and T loops).
Source: Rfam by way of RNAcentral